Molecule: transfer RNA, 59 nt
Filed under: Mannia fragrans
Lineage: Eukaryota; Viridiplantae; Streptophyta; Marchantiopsida; Marchantiales; Aytoniaceae
Description: partial tRNA-Leu
Source: RNAcentral
GGACUUAUGAAAAUCCGUUGGCUUUAAAGACCGUGAGGGUUCAAGUCCCUCUACCCCCA